Molecule: non-coding RNA, 550 nt
Organism: Peromyscus maniculatus bairdii (prairie deer mouse)
Lineage: Eukaryota; Metazoa; Chordata; Mammalia; Rodentia; Cricetidae
Source: RefSeq, a predicted model, not a curated record
CAACAACCGCCAUGACCAGCAGCAUGUGAAGACACCGGAAAGCCACCAGCCACGUGGCAAGUCCUGUAUUAGAAUCGGUGGCCCCAAAUAGCACAGCAGUGAGAGGAAAUAUGAAGGCCAGAACAAGCUGUUAUACAAGGCCCUGAAAGAAACUUAGAAUAAAGGAAAACAAACAUCCCUGAGCAUAGUACAGAUGAGUUGACUUCAUGUAUUGGAUUUGCUUCAAGAUAAUCUGAAAAGAGAUGGGUCAGUGAGGGAGUGAGGAGAUGCACACACAGGACAAGAUGGGGCCUGCCACCAGGAGCUGCUGCUGCUGAAUUAUGAGCUUGCCGUUGCAUUGUCCCUCUACCUCUGGCGUUCUGUGACAAUUUCAUCAAUAAAUAGAGACACGUGGCACGUUGCCAAUAGUGAAUAGACUGACUGCGAAUAGCCCCCUAGAUUCAUUCUUAUUCAGGAACCUGUUCCCUACUCACUUCCUUUAUUUCUUUUGGAGGGACAACUGAGCCCUAGUGAACUAAGCAAGGACUCAGCACCAUUCUGUUUUAUUUCU